RNAcentral lists this microRNA precursor (84 nucleotides) under Bombyx mori (domestic silkworm). RNAcentral's name for it is "mir-2807 microRNA precursor family". It matches the Rfam family "mir-2807 microRNA precursor family". Lineage: Eukaryota; Metazoa; Arthropoda; Insecta; Lepidoptera; Bombycidae. The record is from Rfam by way of RNAcentral.
UUAACUCAUAUUUGUAUGGAAUGGGAUCGUUUGCCUACGUUUGCCGCUAGGGGCGCUGUUCCAACUGCAUACAAAAUUGAGUUA